AGGGAUUCCUAGUUUCUCCCCUAAGACUGUCUUUUUUUUCUUCUGAUUUUGCUUGGUUUGAAGAUUUUCUUUCCAACUCAUGUUUGCCAAUUUCAUUCCACCAUUUUAGCUCCUAAUCGGGGUGGAGGGUGAAUUGGUCUCCUGUGCUCAGAGUUGGAAUUGGGAUCUGCAUUCUGGGGUCCCUUGAUCUCUUUAUUCAUCACAGCCAGCUCUUACAGCUCAUCUGGGCAUAAUUAGCUUCAUCCAGAAUGUUUGCAUUUUGUUUGGGUUGGACUCUUGCAGGGGCCUGGGAAAAGAGAAAGAGUAAAAUGCAAUUAUUUAUCUCCCAAGAGACCAAUAUGCCAGCAGAGGGUGAGAAGAAGGAGCCAUGGACCUGACUGGGGAGAUGACUGUACAGUGACACAGAAGCUGCCAGGCCUCUCCAGGGGCAGGACUGAAAGAAGAGCAUCCUCAGGCGAGGAAAGGGCAGAGCAAAGGCCCACACACAAGCAAGUGCUGGGCAAGCAUAAUGCAAAGUCCCACAGGUGUGCAUGUCCAGGAUUGUGAUUGCCUGGACUGACUGUCUUUGGGAAUCCAUGACUGCACAUUUGGAGAGAGAGUAACAGAAGUAAUAUGCAGUCACUUGUCACAGAGUCCUUGGGAUCUCAGCAAUCCCUGGUUUGACAGGAAGCUCUGGAGUCAUGACCUACCUCAAGUUUCUCAUUGCUGGGAGGAAUAGAAUUACACAGAUGGACACCGAGGUUUUGAACACCGCCAUUCUCACCGGGAAGCCUGUUUCGGUGCCUGUCAAAGUCGUGGGGGUCCAGGAGGAUGGUUCUGUGGUCGAUGUGUCUGAGUCUGUAGAAUGCAAGUCUGCCGAUGAAGACGUCAUUAAGGUAAGGGGGAAUUUAUCUACAGUUCUCCUAAGUACUCGCUCAGAGCUUUUUGUCGCCCCUUCUUUUGUCUCCAAGGUCUUGUUCUGACUGAGCGUCCCAGGCUCUGAAGGGCUGGAGGCCAGAAUGACCUCACCAAGGAGGAAACAGCUGACGGCAGAGACUCCCUGGAAUCAGCAGGCGGCUGCAGCAGGCGGUGCUGCUUCCCUCUCCCUGGAAAGGGGAAUCCCUGACCCUUUAUCUCCAGCAGAAAGAAUUCCCUCCCUCCCUUCCACGUUCCUUGCUUCCCUCGCUCCCCAUAUGCAUGAAAUUCGAUGACUAUUGAAAAACAUUCAUCCAUAUGACAAC
This is a long non-coding RNA of Rhinopithecus roxellana (golden snub-nosed monkey), 1220 nucleotides long. RefSeq lists it as uncharacterized. The transcript has 3 exons. The record is from RefSeq and is a predicted model, not a curated record. Lineage: Eukaryota; Metazoa; Chordata; Mammalia; Primates; Cercopithecidae.